Molecule: microRNA precursor, 209 nt
Filed under: Oryza sativa Japonica Group (Japanese rice)
Lineage: Eukaryota; Viridiplantae; Streptophyta; Magnoliopsida; Poales; Poaceae
Description: MIR812 microRNA precursor family
Rfam family: MIR812 microRNA precursor family
Source: Rfam by way of RNAcentral
AAUAAGUGCAGUUUUACACUAUUCACGUUCAACGUUUGACCGUCCGUCUUAUUUGAAAAUUUUGUGAAAAAAUUAAAAACAUUUAGUCACAUAUAAAGUACUAUUCAUGUUUUAUCAUCUAAUAGCAAUAAAAAUACUAAUCAUAAAAAAUUUUCAAAUAAGACGGACGGUCAAACGUUAAACAUGAAUAGUGUAAAACUACAAUUAUU